AAAGGACGCGAGCAAAGAUGGAGAGGGCAAUGCUGCGGACAAGCGGGCACGAGGCCGUCCUAAAAAAGCUGACGGCGAACCUG
RNAcentral lists this microRNA precursor (83 nucleotides) under Nematostella vectensis (starlet sea anemone). RNAcentral's name for it is "microRNA nve-mir-9458 precursor". Lineage: Eukaryota; Metazoa; Cnidaria; Anthozoa; Actiniaria; Edwardsiidae. The record is from miRBase by way of RNAcentral.